Molecule: long non-coding RNA, 665 nt
Filed under: Olea europaea subsp. europaea
Lineage: Eukaryota; Viridiplantae; Streptophyta; Magnoliopsida; Lamiales; Oleaceae
Source: RNAcentral
UUUUCCUCCUGCUCUCAUAGAAACCCAUAAACAUGAAAAAGAGUUAUCUUGCAUGGAUUCUCAUCCUGUUAUAUGCUCAAAUACUCCUACCAAGCUUGGUUCAAGCAAAUCCCCAGAAAUUGGAGCAAGAAAAUCACCGUGAGAAAUAAAUUAAUCAUUGACCGUCUGUUUUAUAUUGAGAUUCGGUUCCAUUUAAAAUUUAAAUUCAGUUUAAUGUUUGAUAUGCAGGCACAAGCAGAAAAGUGGAUUAUGAUGCAAAUGCUCAUGAUAAAGCAUUUGUAGCAGAAAAUGAAACAAUUUGGACAAAAAAGGAACGGUCGGGGAGAGGACCUAAUGGUGGUCCAUAUGUGAAUCAACAUCGACCCAAAAAAAAUGCAGCAGCACUGUUAUAUACACCUUCGUUGGUCAUUUUUAUGAUGUUUUUUUCUCCUACCGUCGCCUUUGCCUAGAUGUUUUGUGUGAGCUUAGAACUUUAUCUCUUUCAGCUCAUUUUGGUGUUGGGUUUCCAUAAUUUUCUCGAUUUGAUCAUGGCUGUAAUUACACUGACGUGUUCUGUUUGAUUUUAUUAAUGUUCAAGACGUACUUAAUAUCAAUUAUACUUUCUUCAGAUUUAUGUUGUAUUACACUGUAGAUUACCAAAAAUUCCUUAUAAAGAAUCAUAUCAU